CAUGAUGAUGAUGAUGCAUGUGGAUCACCACCAGAUACAACAUCAUAUGGUCUAUGUGUAUUAGAAAGAUGUGGUGGACUAGGAGUAGAGUGGGGAGAUUGGAUAUUUGUAGGUAUUUGAGAGGUGGGAGCAUGAAUUGUAGACAUUUGUGGACUUGGAGUAGAGAGGAAAGGUGGGAAAUUUGUAAAUGUUUGAGAUAUGGGAUGAUGUUUCUUUUGCCUUGUAGGUUGUGGAAGUUGGAUAUUUGAAGGUGUGUUAGAUGUAAGAUGAUGUGUAGGUUUCCUUGUAGAGUGGGGUUGUUGGGUAUUUGUAGGUAUUUGAGAAGUGGGAGCAUGGACAGUAGACAUUUGUGGACUUGAAGUAGAGAGGAAAGGUGGGAAGUUUGUAUGUGUUUGAGAUAUGGGAUGAUGUGUAGGUUGCUUUGUAUAUAUGGAUUGUUGGAUAUUUGAAGGUGUUUUAGAUGUAAGAUGAUGUGUAGGUUUCAUUGUAGAGUGGGGUUGUUGGAUAUUUGUAGGUAUUUGAGAAGUGGGAGCAUGGACAGUAGACAUUUGUGGACUUGAAGUAGAGAGGAAAGGUGGGAAGUUAGUAUGUGUUUGAGAUAUGGGAUGAUGUGUAGGUUGCUUUGUAGAUAGGGAUUGUUGGGUGUCUGCAGGCCUAGGUGCUUGUAAUCUAGAAGAAUGUGACAAAGUAGUUUUAUGCUUACCUCCCUUAUUUCCCUUAACUUUGUUGAUGCUUAUACCAGCACCUCUUCCAUUGCUCCUUGUAAUAUCAUUGUCUUCCAUCUAUCUAUAUACAUAUAAAACUAGGUAAUUAACUACUGUACAUAAAAAAAAAGAAGUUAAAAGGCGCACAAAAUUAGACAUGGGCAUAAACAAGUUAAAAGGCACACAAAAUUAAAACAUAAGCACAAUUAGCAUUUUCCAUUAAUAUGCAUAAGAAUCACACAUAAGGAUUUGUUGAAAAAAUUUAACAUAACAAUAGAAAAAAGACUAGUCAUAUUGUUCUCCUUCUUUUUCCUCUUCUAAAUUCAUCAUCUUCUUCUUCUUCCACUUCUAUUUCAUCUUCUACUUCUACUUCUACUUCUUCAUAAUCCUCCUCCUCCUCCUCCUCCUCCUCCUCAAACUCGUCAUAUUGUUCUUCUAUCUCUAAAUCAAGUUGGUCCAAGACAGAGAUUGGUACUACUUCUUCUUCUACACCAUUAGUGUCAACAAUGCAUUGUUGAAAAUCAUCAUCUGAAACAAACACAUGCAUUUGUUGUUCAGCAUCAUCCUAGUAUGCAUGAGUUGUUUCGGGUACAUUUUUUUCCAAAGAUUGAAUUGUGCUGCGUGCUUUGGUUUUGAUGACACCGAGCCAACCCAAAUCAAAACCUUAACAUAUAGGCAUUCAAAUUGUGCAUACCCAAUUCAGUUAGCAUAGUUUACAACAUAAAAACAAGAGAAGGAGAAAAAAGAGUUUGGAACCUGUUUGCAGCAGCCAAGUGAGAUGAGCUAAGUGAGCAACGGCCCGAGCAAAGUGAAGGAUUUAGGAACCUGUUUGCAGCAGCAAAGUAAGAUUAGCAAUAAUCUGAUCGAAGUGACCUGUUGAUUGAAGGUUUUGGGAAUUAGAUUGAUGAUGUGAAGAUUUAGGGCAAAUGAAUUUGGAAAUUAGAGAGGGGAAAUUAGAUUAGGAACCGAUUGGGGGACCUGUUUGGGAGUUAGAUAGAUGAAGGAUGAAUGGAUUUUGGUAUGAGCGAUUGCUGGUUGAUGGGUGAAUGAGGAAAAACUUUAGAGUUUUGUUAUGUAUUUGUUUGUUAUAAUAAGAAUGAACGAUGCGAGGGAGAAAGUGGUGUUUUGUUAUUUAUAUAAUAAUGAAACCAUCGUAUCUGAAAAAAUCCAAGUUUUUUUUUUUUUUUUAUAACAAACUUUUUUUAUUGAGGGAUUUUAUAACAAACUUUUGUUACAUAUAAUAGUGAGAGUAGAAAUUAUAUAAAUAAGACUGUAAUGUUGUUAAAAAUUUAAGUGCAAAUUAGAAUAACAAAUCNUUUUAGAGUAUAAUAAGUAAUUCAUACAUUCAACGCUUUCAUAAUACCAAAAAGUAUAGUUUGGUUAUGGCUAAUUCAAGUAUCAAAGAGAUCGUGGUAUGCUUCUUGGUUCUUUUAGAUAUAACAUUGAUUUGCCUUUCUUGAAUAUUUGAAAUUGAUUCAUGUUAAGAUUAAAAUCAUUAUUAAGAAGUGAAUUGAUAACAUUCAUGAAGAAAAUAAAAAUUUCAUUCUUAUUAUAUGUAAAUUUGAUAAAAGAAAUACGAUUUGUAUUUCUAUUAACUUAUCAACAUUUUGUGGUAAUACUGUGAUAUUUUUUUGGUCAGUAUGUCAACAAAAUUGGACAAGAGAUGUUGUCUAAAAAAAAAAUCAGAGAAGACAAAGGUUUUGUCGAGGAGGCUUCUUAGUAUGACUGGGUCACAUCCUCCAAAUUGCAUAAAUAGGUGUGAUAAUUGUACUACAUGCAUACGUGUUAUUGUGCCAACGCAUCCACCACAGAGCGCUAGUUAUUAUCCGGAGUCAAUGAAAUGCAAAUGCGGCAACAAGUUAUACUCUCCACAAUAAAUUUUAAUUAUCUAUAUAUUUAAUGUAUUUUUAUGUGUUUAAAAUAAGUAAUGGAAGAAUAUUUAAUUAUCUAUAUAUUUAAUGUAUUUUUAUGUGUUUAAAAUAAGUAAUGGAAGAAUAUUCACGUUCAAGUUCAAUAUUAAAUAUUCUAUGAUAGUCUGUACAAUGAUACCUCACCGAGGGUAAUUAGUGUGAUUGGGAGAUUUUGUUUGUUGGAUAGUUUUCAAAAUGGCUCCAAUAAUAGUUCAGGAUUUAUGGAUGAAAUUGGUUGAAUAAGCGAUGGUAAACUUAUUGGAAGUAAAUAUUUUGAAGUUAAAGAAAAAUUAAUUAGAAGCAAUGAAAAUUUAAAAUAACAAGAACUAAAAUACAUAGAUCUAAAUGACUUGAAGUAAAAGUGCAUAUAGUAAAUGGACUUAAAAUUAAAUGACAAGUUAAGUGACUCAACAAAAAUCUAGACAUCUUAUAUAUGAAAUCACAGUAAAAAAUGAUAUUUUUCAAUUACUAAUCAUGGGAUGUAAUUAUGCUUUGAAUAGUAAAAACCUACACCACUAAGUAUAUAAGACCCAUAGUUAUAACUAAAUCUAGAUUCGGUAAUUGUUGUGAUGUUUUCUUUGUUAAUAAAUAAACACUCCCAUCAUAAUUUCCAUGUUGUAGAAAUAAAAUGUUUGUUAAAUAGUCAUUUUAAUUUCAAACUCAUUACUUUGAAUGGUAAAAUUGUUGAGUAAAUUAAUUAGACAAGUCUAAAAUAGAAGUGCAUAUGUUGUUUUCCACUACGUGCGAUUUAGUCUGUUUUAUCAUAAUUUUUUUAAGCAUUAUAAAUAAAUUAUAACAACACGUGCAAUGGAUAAUGCAGAAGAGCCAGCAACACCUUAUCUAAAUAAAAAGCAAAAACGACGGUUGAAACAACAACAACUCUGUCGAGCACCAUAUAGGACAUGUUCCAAGGGAUUCUUGUUUUCAUUGAGGUAUUUGUUUCUUCCUACAUUUACUGUGAAGGCAAUUGUUGUGCAAACAAGCUGGCCUCUAUGGGACAUUGAGACUCAGGGUAUUCAUAAUGAUGUCUUUAGGGACAAAUUUUGUUUGCCUAACUUUCACUUCCCUUAGAUUUUCUUUUUAUUAUAUCUUUUUAUUUUAUUUUUAUGGUUUUUGUUUGGUGCUCCUCUUGUAUAUAUUUUUCCUGUAUUUUAAUAAUUUUUUUUUAGAUAUGUUGAAUAAGAUAGGAGCCUCUCUAGAUGCCAAUGAAGGUUGGAUGUUGGUGUUUCCCCUUGUUUAGUGUCCUAUCUCUAGGCUUAUUACAAAAAGUUAAUUAAAAAUUUGUUUUAAUCUCACCCGUAUAAUUUAAACCAAGGGUUAUUAUUUAUUGAUAUCAUUCUCACAUAAUAAAAACAUUCUCACUUGAGUACAGAGUAGUAUGUGUGUAUAUAACAGUAAUAGUCAUAAAAAUAAUAAUAGUAAUAAUAUUAAUAAUUUGUUUGAAACUACCACCACUUCAUAUUUCCAAUUUCCAGUACUGAGUCCAAUACUCAGCCAAAUUUUCUUAUCUCACAAAACUGAAAUCAUUUCCCUUCCAAAAAUUGAAACUACUAGCUACAAUUUUCUCAUUUGAAACUCUGCCAAUUUUUAUGUAGACGCUUCAUCCCAUUCCAGUCUUGAGGUAAGGGUGAUUUCAUUGUUUGUUCUUCUAUUCUUUCUUCAAUCCUUUUAAUCUCAUUCUAAAUAAAGUCAUCCUUUUUGUUCUUCCACUUGUACUCUCCUCAUUGAAGAAUAAUUCUCGAAGUCUUGUUCCGACAAUUGGGUAGAAUUCUUUAAAUAUUAGGAAGGAAGGCACUUAAGGUAAGGGCACUUCCCCAUACAACUCAAAAUUAGACAUUGAAUUAGAAAUCUGUAAAGUAUUUAUAUGUUGUUUGUAUGCUUAAAGGAAAAUAAUAAGAAGAGAAAAUAAGACUUUAUGGAAGACCUCUUUUGUCAUGUGCAUGAUAAUGUGCUAUUAUUUUUUGUGUGAUUGCCUUAGUGGCGGGGAUUGCAUCUACCUUUAUUAUCGUGACAUAUGUAUUUGGUGUGCCUUUGUGGCGGGUUAAACUUAUUAUUCUUUGUGGUACCUAAGUGGCGGGUUUUAGUCUUGCAUUUUCAUGAUCAUGCAUGGUAUAUGCAUUUGUGUGGUGCCUUAGUGGCGAGAAUUGCAAUUAUAUUUUGUGUGAAUGUCUUAGUGGCGGAAAUUGCAAUUAUAUUCUGUGUGGAUUCCUUAAUGACAGGAAUUAUACCCAGAUCAUAUAGUUUUAGGAGCAUGCAUAUACAUGUGUAUCAUAAAGGUCUAUUAAGAUUUGUAUAGAAAGAUUGUGUCAUUUUUCUGUUCACGUGCACAUGAAAAUCAGAAGAAAAAUAAUAAUAACAAAGAAAUGAAAAGUUAAUCAUUAUAUAUACACACACAUAUAUAUACCCCUGUGCAUAGAGAUACAAAAGCAAGGUAAGAGUUAGUGUGGUGAGUAAUGUCUUAUUAUGACAAUUCUGAUACAUGACUUUCACAACUAGAAAACACGGAUUUAGCGACGGCCGUUUUCCGUCGCAAAAGCGUUAAAAUUCCGUAGCAAACGACUUCCUGACGAGUUUUGCGACGCUUCAAAAAUCCGUCGUAAUAAUGGGGGUCGGAGAAAUUGACCAACGGAAUAUCAACUCCGUCAUUGAUUGCGGCGUCAUAGACACGGUCGUAAACACCAAAAUUCCGUCGCUAAAUCCCCGCCAAAAUGGAUAUAUGUAAACCAGUUUUCCGUCACAAAAUACCGACGUUAAAAGUUUCCGUCACAAAUCACUAAGGGAAAAAACCGUUGCAAAUAACUGAGAGAAGAAUCCCCUCGCAAAAUAUCUGGGAAUUUGAAUAGCGUCGCUAUGAUAUCCGACGCUACAUUGCAAGACAAAAUUUUUGUGACUUUCGUAUUUUCCGUCACAAAUAAGUUUUUUUUUUUUUUUUCCCUUAAAAUUAGUUUAAAAAAUUUCUCAAUUAUUUCUCAAAACACUUUUGGAAUAUAAAACAAGGUGAUGAAAAAUCACAAGAUAAAAUACAUUAAUAUUUGAUGAAAAACCUUUUUGAUUGCGUUCAGAAGAAUCACACUACUUAUCUUUUGCAUCAAAAUAUAUUGAAAUAAUUACUAAAUAGUAUUAGAACAUUUCCUUUAAACUAAAAGUUAUAAUCAAAUUUUCAAAAUAAUAUGAUAAAUAAUCAAGUAGGUGGACACAAAUGUUAAUCCUAACUCGAACGAUGAGGUUGAUAANNNNNNNNNNNNNNNNNNNNNNNNNNNNNNNNNNNNNNNNNNNNNNNNNNNNNNNNNNNNNNNNNNNNNNNNNNNNNNNNNNNNNNNNNNNNNNNNNNNNNNNNNNNNNNNNNNNNNNNNNNNNNNNNNNNNNNNNNNNNNNNNNNNNNNNNNNNNNNNNNNNNNNNNNNNNNNNNNNNNNNNNNNNNNNNNNNNNNNNNNNNNNNNNNNNNNNNNNNNNNNNNNNNNNNNNNNNNNNNNNNNNNNNNNNNNNNNNNNNNNNNNNNNNNNNNNNNNNNNNNNNNNNNNNNNNNNNNNNNNNNNNNNNNNNNNNNNNNNNNNNNNNNNNNNNNNNNNNNNNNNNNNNNNNNNNNNNNNNNNNNNNNNNNNNNNNNNNNNNNNNNNNNNNNNNNNNNNNNNNNNNNNNNNNNNNNNNNNNNNNNNNNNNNNNNNNNNNNNNNNNNNNNNNNNNNNNNNNNNNNNNNNNNNNNNNNNNNNNNNNNNNNNNNNNNNNNNNNNNNNNNNNNNNNNNNNNNNNNNNNNNNNNNNNNNNNNNNNNNNNNNNNNNNNNNNNNNNNNNNNNNNNNNNNNNNNNNNNNNNNNNNNNNNNNNNNNNNNNNNNNNNNNNNNNNNNNNNNNNNNNNNNNNNNNNNNNNNNNNNNNNNNNNNNNNNNNNNNNNNNNNNNNNNNNNNNNNNNNNNNNNNNNNNNNNNNNNGUUUGUUGGAUAGUUUUCAAAAUGGCUCCAAUAAUAGUUCAGGAUUUAUGGAUGAAAUUGGUUGAAUAAGCGGUGGUAAAUUUAUUGGAAGUAAAUAUUUUGAAGUUAAAGAAUAAUUAUUAAAAGCAAUGAAAGUUUAAAAUAACAAGAACUAUACUACAAAGAUCUAAAGGACUUGAAGUAAAAGUGCAUAUAGUAAAUGGACUUAAAAUUAAAUGACAAGUUAAGUGACUCAACAAAAAUCUGGACAUCUUGUAUAUGAAAUUACGGUAGAAAAUUAUAUUUUUCAAUCACUAAUCAUGGAAUGUAAUUAUGCUUUGAAUAGUCAAAACGUAUACCACAAAGUAUAAGACCCAUAAUUUAGCUAUAUCUAUAUCUAGAUUUGGUAAUUGUUGUGAUGUUUUCUUUGUUAAUAAAUAAACAAUCCCAUCAUAAUUUUCAUGUUGUGGAAAUAAAAUGUUUGUUAAAUAGUCAUUUUGAUUUCAAACUCAUUACCUUGAAUGGUCAAAUUGUUGAGUAAAUUAAUUAGACAAGUCUAAAAUAGAAGUGCGUAUGUUGUUUUCCACUACGUGUGAUUUAGUAUGUUUUUUCAGAAUUUUUUAAAGAAUUAUAAAUAAAUUAUAACAACACGCGAAAUGGAUCAUGCAGAAGAGCAAAUAACACCUUAUCUAAAUAAAAAGCAAAAACAACGGUUGAAACAACAACUACUAUGUCGAGCACUAUACAGAACACGUUCCAAGAGUGAACCACCACUUGCCCAAUGAAUAUUUUUUAUUGAAACAUUAUAGGAAUGAUUCUCUUGUGCACUCAAUCUACGAAACAAGGGGCUUAAUUGUCUUCGUUUAGGUAUUUGUUUCUUCCUACUUUAACUGUGAAGGCAAUUGUUGUGCAAACAAGCUAGCCUGUAUGGGACAUUGAGUCUCAGGGUAUUCAUGAUGAUGUCUUUAGGGAUAAAUUUUGUUUGCCUAACUUUCACUUCCCUUAGAUUUUCUUCUUUUUAUUUUAUUUUUAUGGUUUUUGUUUGGUCCUCCUCUUGUAUAUAUUUUUUUUGUAUUUUUAUAAUUUUUUUUCUAGAUAGGUUGAAUAGGAUAGGAGUCUCUCUAGAUGCCAACUAAGGUGUGAUGUUAGUGUUUCCCUUUGUUCAAUGUCCUAUCUUCAGGCUUAUUACAAAAAGUUAACUAAAAAUUUGUUUUAAUCUCAACCGUAUAACUUAAACCAAGGGUUAUUAUUUAUUGAUAUCAUUCUCACCUAAUAAAAACAUUCUCACUUGAAUAUGGACUAGUAUGUGUGUAUACAACAAUAAUAGUCAUAAAAAUAAUAAUAGUAAUAAUAUUAAUAUUUUUUUUUGAAGAAGAAAUAAUAUUAAUAAUUAAUAAACAUACCAAAAAAAGUUUUUUCAUCAAAAGUAAAAAUAACAGCUUACCAUUUUAUAUAAUUUUAGAAUAGUUAAAACUAUAAUUAUCAUUAAGAAAAUAAAAAUAAAAAUUUAUUUAUUUUUUCUAAAAAAAGAUUAUGUUUUUCAUUUAGAUAUAAUAUAUAUACUCAGACAAGGUAAUGCUUUUGUCCUCAAACAAACAAACUAGCUAGUGGUGUUCUUGAUAGCAUCAUAAGUCGUUUUUUCUUCUUUUCACAAAGAAAAUGAGAAUUACCAAUAUGUCUAUGAUCAAUAUUUUUCAUGCCUUGUUUUUCUUGCUCUCAAUUUUCACCGUGACCUUCACCAGUAUUACUGCGUUGCCUGUUACCUGUAUAGGUAUACAAUUCUUUUAUUUAACAUUAUAUUAUCCCAUUACAUAUUUUUCAUUUAAUUAAAACCCUCGAAUACUUUACAUUGAAGAUACCAGGUGUCAUGUAUUUCUCAGAUCUGCUAUAGAUAAUCAGGUAUUGCUACUUAAUUUUUUUUCUUCAAAAUAUGUCUUAUUUUCACUCUUAUUAUAUGUAACAUCAAUAUUGUACUGCAUUUUAACUAAUUAAGCUACCUAGGUCUAACUUUGCAUUAAAUGAAAUUGUAUAUGGAGAUAUAGUCCAAAAAAUCUUCUCAAAAUAAUUAUAGUGAUAUUGUAAGUGUUUUAGAGUAUAAUAAGUAAUUCAUACAUUCAACGCUUUCAUAAUACGAAAAAGUAUAGUUUGGUUAUGGCUAAUUCAAGUAUCAAAGAGACCGUGUUAUGCUUAUUGGUUCUUUUACAUAUAACAUUGAUUUGCAUUUCAUGAAUAUUUGAAAUUGAUUCAUGUUACGAUUAAAAUCAUGAUUAAGAACUGAAUUCAUAACAUUCAUGAAGAAAAUAAAAAUUUCAUUCUUAUGAUAUGUAAAUUUGAUAAAAUAAAUAAGAUUUGUAUUUCUAUUAACUUAUCAAUAUUUUGUGGUAAUAUUGUCAUAUUUUUCUGUCAGUAUGUCAUCAAUAUUGGAAAAGAGAUGUUGUCUAAAAAAAAUCAGAGAAGACAAAGGUUUUGUCGAGGAGGCUUCUUAUUAUGACUGGGUCACAUCCUCCAAAUUGCAUAAAUAAGUGUGAUAAUUGUACUCCAUGCAUACCUGUUAUUAUGCCAACGCAUCCACCACAGAGCGCAGGUUAUUAUCCGACGUCAUGGAAAUGCAAAUGCGGCAACAAGUUAUACCCUCCAGAAUAAAUUUUAAUUAUCUAUACAUCUAAUGUAUUUUUUAUGUGUUUAAAAUAAAUAAGAGAAGAAUAUUCACAUUCAAGUUCAAUAUUAAAUAUUCUAUGAUAGUCUUUACAAUGAUUACUCACCGAGGGUAAUCAGUGCGAUUGAGAGAUUUUGUUUGUUGGAUAGUUUUCAAAAUGGCUCCAAUAAUAGUUCAAAAUUUAAGGAUGAAAUUGUUGAAUAAGUGAUGGUAAACUUAUUGGAAGUAAANCACUAAUAAGGACUCAAAUGAAAAGUACUUAAAUAUGCCCCACUAACUUUGCAUCAUUAAACAAAAAUAAUUUAUUAAUUAAAUUAUAAAUUACCUCAUAAUAUUUAAUUACAAUCCUUAAAAAAAAUUAUAAAAUAUUUAUUUAUUCGUAUGAACUUAAAUUUCUACCACAUUUGAUAAUAAUUUGAAAAUGGAAAAAUUAACAUUAUAAAUUUUACAUUGCUUGUUAAAAAAUAAUAAGAAUUAAAGAAAGGUUGGGUGGGUAGAAAAUGGUGCAAGUUGUCCAACUAUUCCUAUUUGUUUUUUCUUUUAUUUUAAUUUUUUUUUUUUAUAAUAGUCGUGUAACUGAUAUAAUUUUCUUUUUAAGGGUUUUUUAUAUACACAUUUUUGAAGUUUUUUUUAAUAUUAUUAUUUAUUUUAUUUUUAUAUUAUAAAUUAAUUAAAAUAACUGCCUUCAUCUUUUCCAUCAACAUUCAACACUAACACAAGAUUAAUUAGAAUUCAUCAUCAGCACUCUUAAAACUCAACCCCCAAAUGUGUACGUGGUUGUUGGUUGUUGAAGAUGAAGAUUUGUUGAUAAAUUUUUAUAAUGAAUACUAAUAUUGUAAUAUAUAAGUAAAAUAAAAAUAUAUUUUUCAAAUCAUUGUGCCAAGUCAGCGUCACAUCAAUGAAGUUGUUGGGGGACCAAAUAUAUCCGUUGACUUUCUUAAUAGAGGAUCAAAAUGUUGGUUUUUGAAAUAAGGGUAUUAAAACUUCAAAAAUAUGUAAAUAAGAAGACCAAAAAUACAUUUAAGCCAAAUUUAAAUUUGAAUAAAAAAUAAGUAAAAAUGAAGGAAAAAGAUGCAAAUUAGUGGGGUCAUGUGUUUGUUAGUGGAAGAAAAGGAAAGAUUUUCAACAAAAAAAAAAACCUAAAAUAACUUAGUACUAAUAAAAAACAAUUAAAAGAAAUAACAAUUGAGUCAGCAUGGCCUGGUGGUAAGUUUUCUUGAUUGCACCUCCAAGGUCGCGGGUUGAAGUCUCAUCUUACCCGUAAGUUUUAAUUAAUUCACAUUUUUCAUCAUUUAAUAAAAAAAGACGAAAUUCUCUUUGAGACGGCAUCCAAGGACGUCGCAAACCAUUAAGGGAAUCUGCGACGGAAUAUAUAACGGAAUAGUUAUCGAUGGAAUAAAAACCUAGCUAAAUCCCUCACAAAACUACGUAAUGUCACGUUUUUGACGGAAUUUAUGACGGAUAUGUAGCGACGACAGAGUCCCUCGUAAAAUCCGUCGCUAGAGACAUCAAAAGAGCACCCCUCACAAAAUCCGUCACAGUUUGCGACAGAAAUUAAGCCCUCACAAAUUUCCGUCGCUAAAACCGAAUUUUCUAGUGUUUGGAGAUUUAAAUUAAGUGGGUUUGCUACCUUUUGAUUUAUGUUCUUGCUUAAGGCCAUAUAAAUAAUGUAAGGUAAAAUUUUCUUGUAACUGAUAUGUUAUUUCUUUUAUCCUCUAAAGUUAUAUGAAAAUUUAAUUUGGCAACUUAUUUUAUCCAAUCUAAUUUUUGACAGAAGGAUGAUAUAUGUUUAUUUUCUAACUUUUAAUUCUUGUUUAGUUUAGUUUUGUUGUGGUUGGAAGCUGAUCCCCUUACACCAACACUUUUAGGUACACAAGAAGAUGUGUAAGAUGCAUGGUUGAUGCUUGUUCGCGAACGGGGGAAAUCACUUUGGGUUUUCGUCAUCUAUUUUGAAAUAAGGAUUUUAUGGUUCUUUAAUUGUUGCUUUAAACUAUUUAGUAUGUUUAGAAAUGCGGAGACAUGUUAUCUUCUGCUAGGAACUUUAAACAAGUUUCACUUUUGUUCUUUUGAAGCUGAUACAUUUUUUUUCCAUUUUCAUCUAUUAAUAAAUUAGUUAUUUGAAAUACAUUAACAUAGGAAAUUUGGAAUUGUUUUAUAAAUCGUUUUAAAAAAAAAAAAAAUCCGGGAUCUUACACCACCUUUGCAACUUCAUGGUAUACUCAUGGAUUGACAAAUUCCUAUUUAGAAGGUUGUAACUUCUUAACUGCGUCAGUCUCUACUCCUGUUAUAUCUCUUUUUGAUUUGUUAAAAAAAAAAUUGUGUUUUGUCUAUGAGUUUAUAGAGAAUAAAGUGAGUCAAAUGAGUUGGAGAUUUUUGAGUAAUUAAUUUACCAAAAAUUAGACUUAAUUAAAAAACACAAUAACAUUUAAGAAAUUCUAAUAAUCAAACACAUAUUUUGUUAAUUCAACAUAAUAUAUUAGAGUUUUCUAUAGUUAAAUCCCACCAAAGACACAAAGUGAAGAAAUUUAAAAUAAUAGGGAUUGAUUAAAAAUAUUGCAUGAAAAUGAACAACAAUCAGAAAUUUAAAUUUAAUAUAAAAAGUAAACAUAUACUCUUAUAUUGAUCAUCUCAUCUAUAUGGGUCUCAACAUCUACUAUUGCAUGUAAUGUGGAACUUUAAAUCAUAAUUGACACAUUAACAUAUCUUUCUCAAGUUUGAGACUCUAAGCAUAUGUGAUUUGAUGACAUAACCAAAUAAGGUCAGUUAGAGGCAUAACAUGGUUAAACAUGGAUUGAUGGUGAUUUCAUGGAGAGAAAGGUUUAUAAUUCCAACUUUCACGAAAAGAGAGAAAUGAAAUUAGAAAAAGAAAGAAUAUGAAAAUGUAAUUUGAAAAUGAGAGAAAUGAUAGAGAAAAAAGUAGUGAGUGUUUUGUGGGUGGAAGUAUUGAAAAUAGAGGGAGUUAUUGAUAAUUUUAUGGUUUAGUUGAAGGAUUUUGAGAUUUACAAGUGAUUAUUCUACCCAGAAAAAUAAACUCAAUAAAAAAAUGUCAGAUAAUUUUAAAAUAUAAAAAAAAACACAAAAGUGAAGGUAUUAAAAAUAACAGAGGUUGGAUAAAAACAUUUGCAUGAAAAUGAAUGACUCCCAAAAACUUAUAUUAAACAAGAGAAAUCCAAAAGUUAACAAAACAAAAUGAUUCAUCACGAUGUUCGGAGUUAUUAGAGUGCCUAAAAUGGGUUUGAGCAUCACAUUUGACCAAGAGAAAGCCCACACGUGAAAUUCACACUACGUCUAAACUCAAAAUAUUAAGACUUUGAGUAUAUUAGUCAUCUCACUUAUAUGUUGUUCAAUAUCCACUCUUACCUAUAAUGUAGAAAUUUAAAUCACACAUGAUAGAUUGGUUAAAAGAAAAGAAUUAUGUGUUUUUUCAAGAAUGGAGUUAGUUGUUGAUAAUGUUUUGAGUUUGUUGAAGGGGUUGGAGAUUUUUAGAUAAUUAAUUUACUAAAAAAUUAGAUUUAAUUUAAAAAAAUGCCACAACAUUUAAAAAAAAAAACUAACAAACAUGUAAUUUUUGAACUCGGGUGAGAAAAGUAAUAGCCCACUCCAAAUUAUAAAACAAAUAAAUAAAAUCCACCAAAAACCUAAUAUUAGGUUCCGAUCGUAAGAGCAGCAGAGAGAGAAGCUAGCGGCGGCAACGCAGCAACACAGGUAGGUAUUGAGCUCUUGAAUUGAAUCUUAUCUUAUUAUUAUUAUAAUAUAAUAAUAAUAAUCUCUAUCUCUAUUAAUCAAUUUCAUGUGAUAGUGUUUACGUGUAUUGUAAGAUAGGGUUUUGUUUCAACAGGAGAAAAUUUCAUACAAUUUUUUGAUUUUGAAAGAAAGAUGGAGGUCCUCACUCUCUCAGAUUUUCGUAACAUGGUUGAAGAUAUUAAUGCUUCAAAACUAUAUAAAAAAAAAAUUGUUGAAACUAAAGCCGUUCACUGAAUUAGAAAAUUCUUCUGUCAUUCAACUUGGAGAGUAUAAAUGGUAUGCAAAUUUCUUAAUUUUCUAUUUCUUAAUUUCUCUUAAUUUAUGAGAAAUGAAAUUUUGAAACCCAUGUUCUGUUAUUCAACAAAAAACAAUGGUGUCAAACUCUACCUCAAAUUUUUUGUUUGCUAAUUAACUAAUAUGAUUUUUCAAUAUUUGCAGCUUCUGUGCUUUCAUGAAAAAAAGUGAUCAAAAGGACCAAAUGUUUUGGGAAGAAGAAGAUGUAAUUAAGGAAGCCUUGGUGGAGCACUUUUUUGUGGUUGGUGUUGUGACAUCUCCUUUGCUAAUGGACAUAUUAUACAAUGGUUGUAAAUCAAUAGAUGCUAACAAUGCUACGGCUAAGUUUGUCAGAAUCANUCGCUUAUUAACUGCUGCUUUGUCCUUCCAUUUACUAUCUUCCCAAUUUUGUUCCAAUUUUUCACGCAAUAGAGCAGGGAUCCAUUCGCCUUUGUCCAUUCCUCUUCGUACCCGAUACAUUGUAUUUUGGUACCCAUCAGAUGUCUUAUGAUGAUAAGUCUUCUUUAUGUCUUGAUCAUUCUCAGGAAGCCACUUAUAUAUCCUCUGCAAUACAAGCAAUGUAAUUAAUAUAGGAUAAACUGGACAUCACACUAGGAGCUUUGCUCUGGAACUUGUAACUUUUUCGUGAGUUAUUAAUAUUCACCACCAUUCUCUUGUUUCUAUUGAUUUAUUCUGUUUUAUUAGCUCUGUUCUAUCAGAUAUGUUCAUUAAAAUUCCCUCUUUUCACUUUUGAAAUUGUUUUUUCUCCAACUGUCGUUGACCCAGCAACAGUUAACCACCGCCGGACACUAUUAAAGUCAGUUGAACAAUUAGAAAAGUACCGACAAUUAGAAAAGAAGUACCGACGACAGUUGAAAAAUUAGGGUUGUAUAUAUGUUAAUUGGUCUAACAUUUCAUUUUAUAAUUUUGAUAAGAGACUAGUAACAGAUUCCAAUCCAUACCCUCCAAAGUUGGGAGGGAGCCAAAAAUGAUGGUAGGCAGUGCAGUGGAAUAGAAUAUAUAUACCAGCAAUUCCAAAUAAAAAAUGGACUAAGAUAACUUCAACCGACAAUUCCAAAUAACAAAUGGAUUGAGCGACAAAUCUAACAACGAGGACGAUAAACAUAAGUUGGAGGAAGAGAAGGACAGUACCUGAAACUCGUUAUACCACAAGUCCGCAAGAGCCGUGUCAUUUUUCAUUAACUCUCCAUAAGUUGCCCAAGUCCCUUGAAACAAACGUUUCAUAAUCUUUGUAAUGUCACGUGGGGGCUUAACAGCAGGCUCAAACCUAUAAAAAUAAAAUUAAACAAGUAGUAAAAUACAAGGAUACAAGUUAUUAUAGAAUUAAACGGAAAAUCUUAUAAAAAAUCUUACGUUAACUGUGGUCCCGGACGGAUCCAUAUACGCCUAUCAGUAGGAUCUGUACUCCCAGCUAUCGGAUACGAAUCAUCACAUGAUGAUGAUGAUGCAUGUGGAUCACCACCAGAUACAACAUCAUAUGGUCUAUGUGUAUUAGAAAGAUGUGGUGGACUAGGAGUAGAGUGGGGAGAUUGGAUAUUUGUAGGUAUUUGAGAGGUGGGAGCAUGAAUUGUAGACAUUUGUGGACUUGGAGUAGAGAGGAAAGGUGGGAAAUUUGUAAAUGUUUGAGAUAUGGGAUGAUGUUUCGGUUGCCUUGUAGGUUGUGGAAGUUGGAUAUUUGAAGGUGUGUUAGAUGUAAGAUGAUGUGUAGGUUUCCUUGUAGAGUGGGGUUGUUGGGUAUUUGUAGGUAUUUGAGAAGUGGGAGCAUGGACAGUAGACAUUUGUGGACUUGAAGUAGAGAGGAAAGGUGGGAAGUUUGUAUGUGUUUGAGAUAUGGGAUGAUGUGUAGGCUGCUUUGUAGAUAGGGAUUGUUGGAUAUUUGAAGGUGUUUUAGAUGUAAGAUGAUGUGUAGGUUUCCUUGUAGAGUGGGGUUGUUGGGUAUUUGUAGGUAUUUGAGAAGUGGGAGCAUGGACAGUAGACAUUUGUGGACUUGAAGUAGAGAGGAAAGGUGGGAAGUUUGUAUGUGUUUGAGAUAUGGGAUGAUGUGUAGGCUGCUUUGUAGAUAGGGAUUGUUGGAUAUUUGAAGGUGUUUUAGAUGUAAGAUGAUGUGUAGGUUUCAUUGUAGAGUGGGGUUGUUGGGUAUUUGUAGGUAUUUGAGAAGUGGGAGCAUGGACAGUAGACAUUUGUGGACUUGAAGUAGAGAGGAAAGGUGGGAAGUUAGUAUGUGUUUGAGAUAUGGGAUGAUGUGUAGGUUGCUUUGUAGAUAGGGAUUGUUGGGUGUCUGCAGGCCUAGGUGCUUGUAAUCUAGAAGAAUGUGACAAAGUAGUUUUAUGCUUACCUCCCUUAUUUCCCUUAACUUUGUUGAUGCUUAUACCAGCACCUCUUCCACUGCCCCUUGUAAUAUCAUUGUCUUCCAUCUAUCUAUAUACAUAUAAAACUAGGUAAUUAACUACUGUACAUAAAAAAAAAAGUUAAAAGGCGCACAAAAUUAGACAUGGGCAUAAACAAGUUAAAAGGCACACAAAAUUAAAACAUAAGCACAAUUAGCAUUUUCCAUUAAUAUGCAUAAGAAUCACACAUAAGGAUUUGUUGAAAAAAUUUAACAUAACAAAAAGAAAAUCAAAAUUAUCUAUCCAAAAUCUGUUCUCCCUAAUUUACAAAAAAAAAAAAAAAAUUAACCAUGAAGCAAACAACACAAAAAGGGGAUUCAACUGUAAAAGACAGACCAAAAAAUCUUCACUAACUAAAACAUAUAAAUCUAUAAAACAACCCAAAUCAAAACCUUAACAUAUAGGCAUUCAAAUUGUGCAUACCCAAUUCAGUUAGCAUAGUUUACAACAUAAAAACAAGAGAAGGAGAAAAAAGAGUUUGGAAC
Molecule: long non-coding RNA, 16087 nt
Filed under: Medicago truncatula (barrel medic)
Lineage: Eukaryota; Viridiplantae; Streptophyta; Magnoliopsida; Fabales; Fabaceae
Description: long non-coding RNA (MTRU_LNC001673)
Source: RNAcentral